Molecule: ribosomal RNA, 484 nt
Filed under: uncultured bacterium
Lineage: Bacteria
Description: partial 16S ribosomal RNA
Rfam family: Bacterial small subunit ribosomal RNA
Source: RNAcentral
AUUGAACGCUGGCGGCAUGCUUUACACAUGCAAGUCGAACGGCAGCACGGGGGCAGCUCUGGUGGCGCGUGGCGAACGGGUGAGUAAUACAUCGGAACGUGCCCGGCCGUGGGGGAUAACGUAGCGAAAGAUACGCUAAUACCGCAUACGAUCUGAGGAUGAAAGCGGGGGACCUUCGGGCCUCGCGCGAUCGGAGCGGCCGAUGUCGGAUUAGGUAGUUGGUGGGGUAAAGGCUUACCAAGCCGACGAUCUGUAGCUGGUCUGAGAGGGCGACCAGCCACACUGGGACUGAGACACGGCCCAGACUCCUACGGGAGGCAGCAGUGGGGAAUUUUGGACAAUGGGCGCAAGCCUGAUCCAGCCAUGCCGCGUGCGGGACGAAGGCCUUCGGGUUGUAAACUGCUUUUGUGCGGAACGAAAAGGCUCUGGCUAAUACCUGGGGCUCGUGACGGUACCGGAAGAAUAAGCACCGGCUAACUACGUG